Molecule: long non-coding RNA, 147 nt
Organism: Helianthus annuus (common sunflower)
Lineage: Eukaryota; Viridiplantae; Streptophyta; Magnoliopsida; Asterales; Asteraceae
Exons: 3
Source: RefSeq, a predicted model, not a curated record
GUUCCUCAUCGCAAGAGGAUUAAGAGGCAAAGAGUCCGGUUCAUCUAGCGGACAAGCCGAGGGGAAAUCACGAGGAAAAGGCGCGCUCUAAAGUUUUUCAGGUACUCAAGUGAAGGAUGAUGAUCAAGCAAUCGAUUCGGACCGAAC